AUUUGAUAGUACCUUACUACUUGGAUAACCGUGGUAAUUCUAGAGCUAAUACAUGCUAAAAACCCCAACUUCGGGAGGGGUGUAUUUAUUAGAUAAAAAACCAAUGCCCUUCGGGGCUCCUUGGUGAUUCAUAAUAACUUCUCAGAUCGCAUGGCCUUGCGCCGGCGACGGUUCAUUCAAAUUUCUGCCCUAUCAACUUUCGAUGGUAAGGUAUUGGCUUACCAUGGUUUCAACGGGUAACGGGGAAUUAGGGUUCGAUUCCGGAGAGGGAGCCUGAGAAACGGCUACCACAUCCAAGGAAGGCAGCAGGCGCGCAAAUUACCCAAUCCCGACACGGGGAGGUAGUGACAAUAAAUACUGAUACAGGGCUCUUUAGGGUCUUGUAAUUGGAAUGAGUACAAUUUAAACCUCUUAACGAGGAACAAUUGGAGGGCAAGUCUGGUGCCAGCAGCCGCGGUAAUUCCAGCUCCAAUAGCGUAUAUUAAAGUUGUUGCAGUUAAAAAGCUCGUAGUUGAACCUUUGGCCUGGCUGGCGGGUCCGCCUCACCGCGUGCACUCGUCCGGCCGGGCCUUUUCUUCUGGAGAACCGCAUGCCCUUCACUGGGUGUGUUGGGGACCAGGACUUUUACUUUGAAAAAAUUAGAGUGUUCAAAGCAGGCCUUUGCUCGAAUACGUUAGCAUGGAAUAAUAGAAUAGGACGUGCGGUCCUAUUUUGUUGGUUUCUAGGACCGCCGUAAUGAUUAAUAGGGACAGUCGGGGGCAUCAGUAUUCAAUUGUCAGAGGUGAAAUUCUUGGAUUUAUUGAAGACUAACUACUGCGAAAGCAUUUGCCAAGGAUGUUUUCAUUAAUCAGUGAACGAAAGUUAGGGGAUCGAAGACGAUCAGAUACCGUCGUAGUCUUAACCAUAAACUAUGCCGACUAGGGAUCGGGCGGUGUUACUAUUUUGACCCGCUCGGCACCUUACGAGA
This 967-nucleotide ribosomal RNA is filed under the name Periconia byssoides. RNAcentral's name for it is "SSU rRNA". It matches the Rfam family "Eukaryotic small subunit ribosomal RNA", at positions 119 to 1095 of the family's 1831-position model. The record is from RNAcentral. Lineage: Eukaryota; Fungi; Ascomycota; Dothideomycetes; Pleosporales; Periconiaceae.